AGAUCAGCCCUGGGGUUCAGAGGGAUCCUGACAGCUACUCCUCAAGAUCCUCUCUGUUGUGAUUCAUCCCCCCGGGGCCCUACAGUUUCUCCUUCCUGACUCUUACAUUUCUUUGGAUGGCAUCAUUAUUCAAUUCUCCUGCCUCACCCUCCCAAGUAGCUGGGAUUACAGUACCUGUCUCCUCCCAUAGUUAGGUGCCAAGCACUGUGGAUUCUGCCUCUCAGUGUCCAGACACCCAUUUUCCUUCCCACUGUUCCUUCCCCAUGGAGAAGCCUGUGGCUGGCUGACAGCAGAGAGAGAUGCUCAACUUGGAGAAGGUGUUACCUGGGCCAGGUGGGGAAGGUUUGUUUGCAGAGCAAAGAAGUGAAGCCUAUUCAACGUGAAAAAGAUGAGGAUGAAGACCUUUAUUAUGAUCCACUUCCAAGUAAUGAACACACUGGAGAAAGUCAGACAGUCAAAACAAUGUCCCAGACUCCGUGAAGUUCCUGGGUAGAGAAGGAGACAGACAUAUACCAUACCUAAUAAUUGGAUGUCCGAGAGAAUGAGAGAAUGGCAGAAAGAACUUUAGAGCAUGGGUAUGAUGGCUAGAGCUUGAGCAGCCAUUGUGGACAUCAGAUGAACUUGAAAGUGAAAACUAUGAGCUGAAUACGACAAAGCAAACAGAUAGAAAACUGGAUUCAUUAUGACAUUGCAAAGCUGCCAGACCAGCUCUAGUCUG
RNAcentral lists this long non-coding RNA (718 nucleotides) under Homo sapiens (human). RNAcentral describes it as "MYO3B antisense RNA 1". Lineage: Eukaryota; Metazoa; Chordata; Mammalia; Primates; Hominidae. The record is from RNAcentral.